This 656-nucleotide long non-coding RNA is filed under the name Chinchilla lanigera (long-tailed chinchilla). RNAcentral's name for it is "lncRNA (ENSCLAG00000026746.1)". The record is from RNAcentral. Lineage: Eukaryota; Metazoa; Chordata; Mammalia; Rodentia; Chinchillidae.
GGCUGGGGCUGGAUGCUGUCCUGUCCUGUGGCAGGAUCAGGAGGUGAAUGGAACACCUUGCCUGCCACACCUUCACGGUAACUGCUCACAUGAACCUUGCAGCUGCAUUAGAAAACCCAAUGAGGGGCCUGUUCAGACAUGCGCUGUGCACUAUUCACACCGCCUGCUCUCCGGGAAGGAGUCUUUUCUGUGAGGCUGGCAGACUCUACAGGAUACUUUCCUGGGUCUCCCUGUUCAUCCUGCCCAGGGGAUCCACUCUGAGAAGUUAUGUGUGAACUUGCAGAUUUUUGUGUGAGAGAGCUCCAAAUGAUUACUUUAGGAUAGAAAACAUAACUGUAGGGUUAGUGUAUCACCUGCACAACAUCAAUCAGCAUUGCAUUUAGCUUGUGGUAUUUUUUGUGUUCUCUUUCAUUGAGUAUAAAUUCUUACAUCUUGGCAGGCAUGGCAGUGCGUGCCUGUAAUCCCAGCACUCAGGAAGUUGAGGCAGGGGGAUCACUGUGAGUUCAAAGCCAGCCUGAGCUAUACGCAGUGAAACCGUAUCUCAAAAAAAAAAAAAAAAAAAAUUCUUAGCUCCUCAAAUUCUCCUUGAAACAUCUUUAUGAUCUUGAGGAUUCCCUCAUUCAUGAGUUCAAGAAAUCUGGCACACAAUCACUUUA